GAUGAACGCUGGCGGCGUGCCUAAUACAUGCAAGUCGAGCGAACGGACGAGAAGCUUGCGCCUCUGAUGUUAGCGGCGGACGGGUGAGUAACACGUGGAUAACCUACCUAUAAGACUGGGAUAACUUCGGGAAACCGGAGCUAAUACCGGAGAAUAUUUUGAACCGCAUGGUUCAAAAGUGAAAGACGGUCUUGCUGUCACUUAUAGAUGGAUCCGCGCUGCAUUAGCUAGUUGGUAAGGUAACGGCUUACCAAGGCAACGAUGCAUAGCCGACCUGAGAGGGUGAUCGGCCACACUGGAACUGAGACACGGUCCAGACUCCUACGGGAGGCAGCAGUAGGGAAUCUUCCGCAAUGGGCGCAAGCCUGACGGAGCAACGCCGCGUGAGUGAUGAAGGUCUUCGGAUCGUAAAACUCUGUUAUUAGGGAAGAACAUAUGUGUAAGUAACUGUGCACAUCUUGACGGUACCUAAUCAGAAAGCCACGGCUAACUACGUG
RNAcentral lists this ribosomal RNA (497 nucleotides) under uncultured bacterium. Its description in RNAcentral is "partial 16S ribosomal RNA". It matches the Rfam family "Bacterial small subunit ribosomal RNA", at positions 28 to 507 of the family's 1533-position model. The record is from RNAcentral.